RNAcentral lists this ribosomal RNA (492 nucleotides) under uncultured bacterium. RNAcentral's name for it is "partial 16S ribosomal RNA". It matches the Rfam family "Bacterial small subunit ribosomal RNA", at positions 29 to 507 of the family's 1533-position model. The record is from RNAcentral.
AGUGAACGCUGGCGGUAGGCCUAACACAUGCAAGUCGAACGGCAGCACAGUAAGAGCUUGCUCUUACGGGUGGCGAGUGGCGGACGGGUGAGGAAUACAUCGGAAUCUACUUUUUCGUGGGGGAUAACGUAGGGAAACUUACGCUAAUACCGCAUACGACCUACGGGUUAAAGCAGUGGAUCUUCGGACCUUGCGCGAUUGAAUUAGCCGAUGUCGGAUUAGCUAGUUGGCGGGGUAAAGGCCCACCAAGGCAACGAUCCGUAGCUGGUCUGAGAGGGUGAUCAGCCACACUGGAACUGAGACACGGUCCAGACUCCUACGGGAGGCAGCAGUGGGGAAUAUUGGACAAUGGGCGCAAGCUUGAUCCAGCAAUACCGCGUGGGUGAAGAAGGCCUUCGGGUUGUAAAGCCCUUUUGUUGGGAAAGAAAAGCAGCAGGUUAAUACCCCGCUGUUCUGACGGUACCCAAAGAAUAAGCACCGGCUAACUUCGUG